UCGAGCGAGAAGGGGCUUCGGCCCUGAGUACAGCGGCGCACGGGUGAGUAACACGUGGAUAACCUGCCUCAAAGUGGGGGAUAACACCGGGAAACCGGUGCUAAUACCGCAUAUUCUGAUGAGAUCUGUGGAUUUUAUCAGGAAAGGAGCAAUUCGCUAUGAGAGGGGUCCGCGGCUGAUUAGCUAGUUGGUGAGGUAAUGGCUCACCAAGGCAACGAUCAGUAGCCGGUCUGAGAGGACGGUCGGCCACACUGGAACUGAGACACGGUCCAGACUCCUACGGGAGGCAGCAGUGGGGAAUUUUUGGCAAUGGGGGCAACCCUGACCAAGCAACGCCGCGUGGAUGAUGAAGUAUCUCGGUACGUAAAAUCCUUUCGACGGGGACGAAACCGCAAGGUUGACGGUACCCGUAGAAGAAGCCCCGGCUAACUCCGUGCCAGCAGCCGCGGUAAUACGGGGGGGGCAAGCGUUG
RNAcentral lists this ribosomal RNA (472 nucleotides) under uncultured bacterium. Its description in RNAcentral is "bacterial SSU rRNA". It matches the Rfam family "Bacterial small subunit ribosomal RNA", at positions 62 to 543 of the family's 1533-position model. The record is from RNAcentral.